CCUCGGCACUGAGCUGAGACGCGCUGAGCAGUUUGCUCUCCUUUUUCCACUUCAUGCGCCGGUUCUGGAACCAGAUCUUGAUCUGCCGCUCGGUCAGGCACAGGGCGUGCGCGAUCUCGAUGCGCCGCCGCCGCGUCAGGUAGCGAUUGUAGUGAAACUCUUUCUCCAGCUCCAGCGUCUGGUAGCGCGUGUAGGUCUGGCGGCCGCGUCGGCCGCUGGGCCCAAAGGAGGAACCUGUUACGCAGAGAGAAGAUGCUGAGGCCUGGGGUCAGCGGGGCCAGAACCCCCUCCCCCACUCGACCCUCAGACAUGGACUCUAGCCUGUCCCGGGAUGCCCUCCGCUCUCCGAGAGUUCCCUGCUCCCCCCCCCCGCCCCCCUCUUUCACUCCUCCAGCGCCCCCUCCAGAUUCCCUCCGGGUCUCCCAGGCCUGUGCCUCUGGUCUAGACUCCAGGUGGGGGAUGGGAGGAGGGCUUAAAAUCCCACCUGAGCCGAGGGGGAGGGGCUGGGGAAGCACUGGCCAGGUGUGUCUCUUCCUAGCCUCAUCUUUUCUUUCCAUCUAUCUGGCUCCCCCACCACCCUGUGAUAGAUUCCAGCCCUUAAUCCGUAAUGACGUGGAUCGAUCCAUAGUCGGCAUUAACGGCUCCUCACUUUCGUGUCCCGCUAAUGGACAUCAAUUUGGGACUUCAGGCCGACAAAUAAUCCAACCUGAGACCCAGGCGCCUGCUUCUCCCUCUCUCCCCCUCCGCCUGCCUGCGCCUGCUCCCUCUCCCUUUCUUCCCCUUAUUCGCCCUCCCUCCUCUGACUACCACCCCUUUCCUGGUGCCUCCUCCCUCCCCAGCCCCGGGCCCCCAGGGAAACACAGUCCGGGACAGACUCAACUCUCCCUCGCCAGCGUCACGCCGCCCCCCUUCCUAUGACGCACUCCGUUUUUAAUGGAACCGUCUUCGGGUGGGGGACCCGACCAGGGCUGGGGGCACGAGGGAAAGCCACGCCAGUGGCUGCGGCCCCUGCCCCCUCCCCUGCCCCGGAAUCCGGCUCUGGCGUGGCGCUCCGGGAGAGCCCACUCGCUCCCCCUGGCUCCCAGUGCAGCUGGGACUUUGCAAACUUUGUAACUCCUGAGGGCCAGAGGACAGAGCGGGAGACCCGGGGCAGGCGCCCAGUCCUCCCUUAGCUCCUAACUGAGAUGCCCACCCAGCACCCCGGGGGGGGGCGGGGGCGGGAAGGAGGUGGGGGCGCUACUUCUGUCCCCGGGGGUGGGGGCCCGCGGGGGUCGGGGCGGCCGCGGGAGGGCUCACUCACUGUUGCACGAAUUCAUCCGCUGCAUCCACGGGUAGACCGGAGUGGAGCACUUCUGCUCCUCCGCCUCGCCGAACACGCUCUUGUCCUGCGCACAGUCUGACUUCCGCGGCUCAGGGUGGAACCGGGGCGGCUCUUCGGCGCCCGAGAGCGCGCAGGCCGACUCCUUCUCGCGGUAGAAGGCCGGCGCCGGCCCGUAGUCGCAGGGCGCCGCUCGGCCGUAGCCGCCGCCAGCGGGCGGGUAAUAGGAGGAAGCGGCAAAGCCCUUGUCCUGGCCGGGCCCGGGCCCGUAGGGCGCGGGGUAGUGCCUCAGCGGGUCCGCAUAGCCCGACGAGUAGAGCGGUAGCUGGCCCAGGAAGGACUCCUGCCCGCUGGCCAGAGUGACGGGGAAGGUGGAGUUCACGAAAUAGGAACUCAUUGGGAGGGGAGGCGCGCUCGGCCGCUGCUGCUCCGCCGGGUUUAUGAUUUGUUGUGUUUUAUAGUCCGAGCGCCGCGCCUAUUAGUAGUAUAUCUGAGAUUGGGUUUUAGCUGAGGGGGGAUGGCGAGGUGCCAGUGAGGGCCAGAAGGAAAUACAACCAUCUGAUCCAACACUGACCAAUGGCAGAGGCAGGAAUUGUCAAAUAGCACCCAGGAGGAGCGCAGCCCGCGCGAGGGACCCGCGCACAAACCUAUCAACCUUUUUUUUUUCCCUCCUUCUUCUCCUUCUCCUCUCUCUCUCUCUCUCUCUCUCCCCGACAACACAACGCGUCCUGUUCCACCUACGUAGGAUCUGCGAAAGAGGCGUCUGUGCCUUGGAGGGAGGAGGGAGCAUUUGGAUUGAGACCACCCCAUCCCCCAGUGAUUAAAUAAAUAUAUCCCUCCCCUCCCCACGCAGGAUAGGAAAAAGUUAAUUGUGUUUUCAGAAAAGUUAACCCCUGCGUGGCUUGAGCCCCGUUCCCUCAAGGGAAGGGUGGGUAAAUGUCCCCCGAAUGAAUCUCCGCGUGGUGAGGAGAGAACUGAAGGAAAAGGUUUGUUUCUAGGGUUUUGUGUAGUUAGAGAAGGAGAAGAGUUCACUGUUUAGCAUCGCUUUCAGAAAGAGAGGCGAAGAAGAGGAAGCACUCUCCUUCCCAGGUGAAAACUGUUUUUCCUGCUUCUCAGGUCUACUCUGUCUCCUCCAAGCCUGGGUUUAUUAUUCUCGCUUCUACACAAUUCUUAUGGUCUGAAGGGCAGGCCAGAGCCCAGAGGACCCAGAAGUCUGGGAAAUAGGCGGGUCUGAGCCCAAGGUUCUCCCUCCGGCUCUGUGGCUAGGUUAAGCUAAGCGAGGCUAGGAGCUUCUUGGAAGGCUACGGCGGCUGCCCAAGACGUCCUGCCUGGUUCCAGCAUCUGCUGCUUGCUCUUGGAAUGGGAAGGGGCACUGGGGAAAGGGAAUAGCCUUCUCUUCACUUGUGGGAUAGGGAGAGGAAGAGGAAGGGACAUCCCCCAGCCUAGGUUCCCCUGAUCCCUACCCUGCCUGCAACACUCACUCCACCCCCACCCCCUACCCCCCAAAUCAUUAGAAUAUCCUGGGCUACAGAUUCUUAAGAAUCAAAGAUAUCUCAGUACGUCUGGGUACAGGGAAGAAAUUGUUCCCCCUCCAAUCUGGGUCCUCAAAACUGCCUAAUAUUUGAGGCAAUCAGAGACAGCCGGGAAGAGAGGGGACCUUGCUCCUUUUCCAGGUCUCUCCAGAAGCUGGCAGGUCUCUUUAAAAUGAAUUUUUUCCCAAGACUCGGUUUGGGCUUAGUUUUAUAAGGAGGGAGAGGUGUUCAGGUCCUCCUGGGGACUCAGCAGGCAGCUUACAACUAUCAGCCCGAAUCCCCUCUCCAGAGGCUCACCACCCUUCUGUCAGACUCUCAGUGUCUCUCCAGUCCCUCCCACAUCUCAUAUUUGUAUCACCAGCUUUGCUGCUGCACAGGCUUGAGUGUGAGAAAGAGUGCUCAUCUCUGUUCCUCUCUCUCUUUCUCUCCCUCUCUCUCUCUCUCUCUCAUCUAAGGAAAAUGAGCCUUGAAGCCAGGCUGGAAGACUGAAUCACAAUGUUUUCAACAUUCUAACUAUGCACAUGGAAGCCAGGCACUAAAGGUCGAUAAUGUUCAGACCUGAGUUCAGGAAUGAGUCAGGAUGUGUGACAAAAUCUGAUGAUGAAGGGGCCAGCUGACUGUCUGCUAUCUCAUACUUUGGGUUCCUUUUUGUGGGCCAGGUUUGCCCACUAAAGAUGACACAAGAUACUAGGGAAAGUGGUUGGGAUACUAGGGAAAGGGCUGAGCUUGGUGACCAAAAGUGGGAAAUUGGUUGGUUGCACAGUGGCCUACAAGGAUCCCGGAACUCGGGAAUGCUUCUAGGCUAUACCUUCAUGGCCACAUAGUGAUCCCUGGAUGUCCCACCAAUCACUUCCUAGCCCAACUUGGGGGGGGGGGAAGGGGGUUAUCAAAAUUUAAGAAAAUAAACUCAAGUCUUCUAAUGAUGAAGAAUCCUAAGUGCCCCAAUCUAGCUGUGAUUGGGCCAACUCCUAGAGAGGAAUAGGGAACAUUUGGGCUGGGGGAGCAAGGUCAGGAGGGUGCCUGUAUGCACCUCCCUCCUCCUUGCCACUGAGGCUAGGCCUUGGGCCAUAUCUGUCCUGCCUCCUCCCUGGUCACAGUGUCCCCUUCCUAGAAAUGCACAAUGUGGGCUUUGCUGUGGAGUCGAGACUAAGUAGGAUGCUGUAAGACAGGGAGACUUCCCUGAUACAGAAGCAUGAAAAUAAUCUCCUUAUCCUUAGAGCCACAGCCCCAAAUUAACCUCACCUCUGCAGGUUGCCUGUCACGAGAUGGAGCCCGAAGCAGGGCCUGGGCGCCUGGAGUCCAGCAUGAAAAGAAAUAGCGCCUCAUCGCUCUUAUCUAAGCCCAGAGGUAUUUAUGAGCGUUUAUUCGUCUGAUCCGUUUGUUUGGGAGAAAGAGCAGACAGGGCCCGGCCAGAGGCCGCCUGGUCUCUGGAGCCAGAUCUCUACGAAUCUGUCUGUGGUUCGGUCCACUGCCGUCUGUCUGUCUCCAAGGGGGAAUAUGUAAAUACCCAGCAGGCACAGCCGUCUGCCAGUCUGGGGUGUCUCUCCCAGCCUCAUUGAGGAAGUGUGUAUAUAGAGAGAUGGAUAUAAAUGUGUACCAAGUCUUGACUACGCAACAGAAGGAUUGUACAGAAACCCCACAGGCAGAAUUUAUAAUUGUAAUAUUCUAUGCUGUAGAUCCGAGCUCCUCUGGAUGUGCACGCAUUUUCAUUUCCCAGGGAAAUGUCCGAGUUGUGCUCAGCAACUGAGUAAAAUUCUCCUGCACCGGUAACCUCAGGGAGGGGUUUUUGCCUGUAUGUGUACGGAGGAGAGGAGGAUUGAGACACUGUCCAAGUUUCCCAUUUCCUCACAGCUACAAAGCUCCCCCCACCUCCGGCUGAUUGGGUUGUGGACAUCUUCCCCCAGCCCACUCCCAAUUCUGGCUGGGAUGGAGCGAAUGAAAAUAACUUGACUCGAUUCUUCCCCUAGACUCUGUGAUUCUCUGAAUUUGGGAAACAUAAAUGUUCCCAGAGGGAGUUCCCAACCUAGGGGAGCUGUUUACUAGGGAUAUUGCCUUAAAAUUAGCCCGCCCAAAGCGCCGGUACAAAGACCUCAUUUCCAUUAUGCAAAUGAACGGCACCGUCUCUGAUCUUGGGGGGUGGGAUGGGCGGUGACGCUCAGCUCACUCUCCCUGUUCCAGGCACCCAGGUCCAUGGGCACCCCAGGAGCCCCAAAGUGUUUCAACCCCCUGUACCAGCCACCUUCCCUCCCUACCUGUCCUUCGGAUUGCUCACAAGAAAGAGGGGCCCGAGACUUUCCGGGCAGGCUCCCUCGGGGCCUCCGCACUGGGCCGGGCCUUCUGGCCUCGGAAAGUCACUCUUUCUGCCCAAAUGCUGAAAGGGCAGCUCUCCUGUGGUCCAGACUCUGGAGGCGCCACAGCCGCUGGGUUUGCCCCCCAGCACCGCCGGCCCCCCUCCACCUCGGCAGUUCUGGCCCAGACCCUAGUAACACCUCGGCCUGCCUGGCACCGCAGGCAAUUUCCUGGAGCCCCCGCCCAGGAACUGGGGCCACAGCACCUUGAAAGGAGCGGCCAGAGCUUCCUCCUGCGGCUUGAAAGCCCGAGCUAAUCAGUAACCCGUGAGACAGGGGCCAAUAUUCAAACUCGGCAGCGGAGGCCCCGUACCCCUGCCCUCGCCACCCCCUUCUGGGAGAGCAGUCGGGUUAAGCGGGUGUGAGGGGUCCUGCAAGAACGGAAAUCACAAUGGUCUGGUUCCUUAAUGAUUGAUCCCUGCUCCCACUCCCAAUUUUUACCCAAAGCAUAUUUGUGUCGAUUUUGCUUGAAACGGUCGAGAAUGGGGGAGGGGACCCACACUCACUUGCAGACACCAACAGUUUCCAGAAAAUUCGGCUCAAUUCCUUCACCACGGACUCACCGGCCAACCCGGAGAACACAGACCCGGUCUGUCUUUAGACAGCCGAGUGGAACUGCGGGACCGGCGCCUCCCCUGCUGGCCCCCUCCUUUGGCCGAAAAGAAAACCAAAUAAACCUUGAACAGCCUUGGCCUCGCAUCUCCCGAGCGGCCCGGAUGAUCCCCUCUGUAGCCUUGGAGGGGUAGGAGGGUGAGGACUCUCGACUCUGAUCCCCCAACCCUUUGGUUCAGGGCCCCCUGCCCGCGGGAUGCAGUAUUAGUCCUUUUUAAAUAUGUCCUAGAAAAAGCCGCUUUCCCAGCCAGCCGCUGGGUUUGGAGCUGGAAUGGGGCGGGCCAGGAGGAAGGGACACUUGUUUUCUAAUCCACACGCGGAAUGGCGGGUACCAAGAUCCAGCGGAAAGCGACAAUCUGGGCCCGAAGUCCCCGCAACCCGCCGAACCUGAGCAGCAGGGGCUCCGGGCGUCGCGCACGGUUCAGGCAGUGAGUGUCGCCCGGCUUGCGGCGCCGAAGCCGCAUGUCUCCGAACGGACGGUAGAUGGCAGCAAACCGCAUAAUUUGGGUCAGAGCAAACUGUCUAAGGGAUGAUUUAUAACCACACCAAGACUACAGGAGAAAAAGACCUUCAGUCUGGAUGGGUUUGGGGAAUUUUUCCUUUGAGAAUAGGCCCCGAGUACCGUGGGUGCUGGCCGAGAACUUCUCUCGCUGCGUAGCCGAGGGUCCCCGCAGGUACCCAGUCCGGGCCUGCUUCUAGGCAUCUACCUGUGCCUCCAGGGACCCCCUUCCCGCGCCACAAGUGGCCUGCAUCCCUCUCUUCCCAGCUCAGGAUCCAGAAUGCCAAUAUCCCCCUACCGACCCCCAUCCCCCGCGAUCCCUGGGCCACCAGAGGCCCCAGGCCGAACGCUCUGCAUUUGGUCUUUAAAAAGAGGAAAGCAGUCACCUAUUCGUGCAAACCAAACUAAAUCAUAGUCUCUCCUGCCCUCCACGCCCCAAACCGCUUAUCUCUCCGCUGGCAGCUUCCCCGGAAGCCCUCCCACUCACUCUGUUUUUAGGUUCUCACCAGCUUUCCCCUUCUUCCACCCCACCAGCUACUUUAGGAAUUUCGGUCUCCCUCCCAACGAUCCUUCUCCCCCCCUCCUCCCCACCCCCAGGAGGCCUGGCUGGAGAAUGAAAUCAGGCGCCGGAGGGACAGGACUAGCUGUCUGAGCUCAGCGCCAGGCAGCUCUCCAGUCCGGACACCAUCAGGUUCCCUAACUGGGUUUUCUUUUUGAUUUUCUUCUGCUGCUUCUUCUUCUUCUCUCUCUGUCCCUCCCUGUUUUGUUUUUGUUUUUGUGUACAAGCCUCAAACACAACAACACACUCCACAGCUUCUUCACAAUCACCACGAUUGGAUCCGGGGAAAGUUUGAGGUGCUCCCACCUGAGACACACACAUGGCAAUUUCCUCCACCGAAAUCCACACACCCAUAAAACACAAGUAAUAGAAUCAAUAUUGCACAGACACCAACACGCUGUGACCUACCGCGUUAAAAACCACAAAACUGUCUCCCUGCAGAGCGACGCUCCCUCCUGCGGGAGUGGCGACAGACCUGGGCAUUCUCAGGCUGGCUUCCUGGGGGGAGGGGGUCUCCCUCGAUGUUGGUGCCUCCACCCACAGCCCUUGAAUUUCAAAAAUGUCUCCGUAAGGGAGAUAAUGAGCAUUUCUCUGUGAAUUGUUCUUUCUGUGUCCCUCUAGCCGCCGCCUCCUCGCCCUCGCGGGCCUCUGCGGACAUUCCAGGCCCUCCAGAGACCAGAACGUCCCUCGGCACCACCUCCCCUUGUGCCAAUGCCGCCGGGAAACCGCCGAUACCCAUGCCGGGCAAGAGAACUGCGCGGGGGGCAACUGGGGGAGGCCGGAACAAGGGGGGGGGUGGGAGGGGGAGGGGGCGCGCACCCACAGAGGCCAUAGCGACAGGCUUCUAGGGCGCCCUGGAGCCCUGGCGCCCUGGAGCCCAGACGCCCCCAUCGUCUCCUUUGCAGCCCCCU
Molecule: long non-coding RNA, 7779 nt
Filed under: Lynx pardinus (Iberian lynx)
Lineage: Eukaryota; Metazoa; Chordata; Mammalia; Carnivora; Felidae
Source: RNAcentral